Molecule: ribosomal RNA, 495 nt
Filed under: uncultured bacterium
Lineage: Bacteria
Description: partial 16S ribosomal RNA
Rfam family: Bacterial small subunit ribosomal RNA
Source: RNAcentral
AUGAACGCUGGCGGCGUGCCUAAUACAUGCAAGUCGAGCGAACAGACGAGGAGCUUGCUCCUCUGACGUUAGCGGCGGACGGGUGAGUAACACGUGGAUAACCUACCUAUAAGACUGGGAUAACUUCGGGAAACCGGAGCUAAUACCGGAUAAUAUAUUGAACCGCAUGGUUCAAUAGUGAAAGACGGUUUUGCUGUCACUUAUAGAUGGAUCCGCGCCGCAUUAGCUAGUUGGUAAGGUAACGGCUUACCAAGGCAACGAUGCGUAGCUGACCUGAGAGGGUGAUCGGCCACACUGGAACUGAGACACGGUCCAGACUCCUACGGGAGGCAGCAGUAGGGAAUCUUCCGCAAUGGGCGAAAGCCUGACGGAGCAACGCCGCGUGAGUGAUGAAGGUCUUCGGAUCGUAAAACUCUGUUAUUAGGGAAGAACAAAUGUGUAAGUAACUAUGCACGUCUUGACGGUACCUAAUCAGAAAGCCACGGCUAACUACGU